AAGACCGCAGCGCGAGUUAUCGAUCCUCUUCGACGGCGAUGGCUCUCAACGGCGGCCUCCGAUCGGGACUCAAGGCGCUCAUCUCCUCCGAGGCGGCGCUCUCCAGAUCAGCAUGUCGGGAGCUGCAUGCAACUGGGGUUAAGAGAAUGGGAGGGCAUGGCCAUGAUUCAGAGCCAUACUACCUUCACGCCAAGCACAUGUACAACUUGGACAGAAUGAAGCACCAGGCACUGAAGAUGUCCCUCUCGGUUCUAGCUGUUUUCAGCAUUGGUGUUGCCGUUCCG
RNAcentral lists this unclassified non-coding RNA (284 nucleotides) under Hevea brasiliensis (rubber tree). Lineage: Eukaryota; Viridiplantae; Streptophyta; Magnoliopsida; Malpighiales; Euphorbiaceae. The record is from RNAcentral.